This is a long non-coding RNA of Oreochromis aureus, 565 nucleotides long. RefSeq lists it as uncharacterized. NCBI's taxonomy places the organism in Eukaryota, Metazoa, Chordata, Actinopteri, Cichliformes, Cichlidae. The transcript has 4 exons. The record is from RefSeq and is a predicted model, not a curated record.
AGGGAUUAAUCACGAUUCAUCCGCUGGAGUUAAGGUUGCUGCUUGUGGAAUUUGGAGCUGUGGAGAUUUGAGCUGUGCUCCAAAAGUGCAUGUAAAGAGUUCCCGAAGUGAAGUGAAGUGUGAAUGCAUCCUUCAAGCUGUGAUUAUAUACCUGAAUGAGAACCCUCAAAAUAUCAUCAAAGAGUACAUGGAUUUCAACGUGAUGGAAGCUGAAGAGCUCGAAAGGAUGGAUUUGGGGUGUUUAUAAAAUAAUCCACGAAGGAGCACAGCCUGAUGACUCCCUUGAACAUGUUGGCAUCAUUAUCGAGAGAUGCACCGUCUUGCAGGAUCUUCACGAUGUGGCGAGCAGGUGUGCACUUUUGUUUGGGCUAAUUAACUGCCUCAAUCUGAGUUACCCAAAGCCACUUCGCUACACAUUUGAGUUCUUCCAGAAGGUGCUCACAAGUGCUGAAGAACAAACUCUGCCAAAAGGAGACGCAAUGACUCUUCCAGAUCGAAAUGUCCCCCAAAAUAAGUGCUCUGUUUUCUUGCUGACUAAAAGUUUUACUGUUUAAAAGUUUAUAAA